Molecule: ribosomal RNA, 450 nt
Filed under: uncultured bacterium
Lineage: Bacteria
Description: partial 16S ribosomal RNA
Rfam family: Bacterial small subunit ribosomal RNA
Source: RNAcentral
GUGGGGAAUCUUCCGCAAUGGACGAAAGUCUGACGGAGCGACGCCGCGUGAGUGAAGAAGGCCUUCGGGUCGUAAAGCUCUGUCAUCAGGGACGAACGGCCGGUGGAGUGGAAAGCCACCGGAUUGACGGUACCUGAGAAGGAAGCCACGGCUAACUACGUGCCAGCAGCCGCGGUAAUACGUAGGUGGCAAGCGUUGUCCGGAAUUAUUGGGCGUAAAGCGCGCGCAGGUGGGAUCUUAAGUCCAUUUUGAAAGUUCGGAGCUCAACUCCGUGAUGGGAUGGAAACUGGGAUUCUUGAGUACCGGAGAGGAAAGCGGAAUUCCCCGUGUAGCGGUGAAAUGCGUAGAUAUGGGGAGGAACACCAGUGGCGAAGGCGGCUUUCUGGACGGUGUCUGACACUGAGGCGCGAAAGCUAGGGGAGCGAACGGGAUUAGAUACCCCGGUAGUCC